GCCUACGGGGCGCAGCAGUAGGGAAUUUUCGUCAAUGGGCGCAAGCCUGAACGAGCAAUGCCGCGUGAACGAGGAAGGUCUUCGGAUCGUAAAGUUCUGUUGAAGGGGAAAAAGGGCGGAGAGAGGAAAUGGUCUCCGAUUGAUAUUACCCUUCGAGGAAGUCACGGCUAACUACGUGCCAGCAGCCGCGGUAAUACGGAGGAUGCGAGCGUUAUCCGGAUUUAUUGGGUUUAAAGGGUGCGUAGGCGGGCUGUUAAGUCAGCGGUAAAAGCCCGGGGCUCAACCCCGGCGAGCCGUUGAAACUG
This 305-nucleotide ribosomal RNA is filed under the name uncultured bacterium. RNAcentral describes it as "bacterial SSU rRNA". It matches the Rfam family "Bacterial small subunit ribosomal RNA", at positions 337 to 635 of the family's 1533-position model. The record is from RNAcentral.